Molecule: ribosomal RNA, 433 nt
Filed under: uncultured bacterium
Lineage: Bacteria
Description: partial 16S ribosomal RNA
Rfam family: Bacterial small subunit ribosomal RNA
Source: RNAcentral
AACGAACGCUGGCGGCAUGCCUAACACAUGCAAGUCGAACGAGACCUUCGGGUCUAGUGGCGCACGGGUGCGUAACGCGUGGGAACCUGCCCUUAGGUUCGGAAUAACUCCCCGAAAGGGGUGCUAAUACCGGAUAAUGUCUUCGGACCAAAGAUUUAUCGCCUUUGGAUGGGCUCGCGUUGGAUUAGCUAGUUGGUAGGGUAAAAGCCUACCAAGGCGACGAUCCAUAGCUGGUCAGAGAGGAUGAUCAGCCACACUGGGACUGAGACACGGCCCAGACUCCUACGGGAGGCAGCAAUGGGGAAUAUUGGACAAUGGGCGAGAGCCUGAUCCAGCUAUGCCGCGUGAGUGAUGAAGGCCUUAGGGUUGUAAAGCUCUUUUACCCGGGAUGAUAAUGACAGUACCGGGAGAAUAAGCUCCGGCUAACUCCGUG